UGGGCGUAAAGAGUUGCGUAGGCGGCAUUGUAAGCGGGUAGUGAAAGCGUGUGGCUCAACCAUACUCACAUUAUCCGAACUGCAAAGCUAGAGGACGAGAGAGGUAACUGGAAUUCCUUGUGUAGGAGUGAAAUCCGUAGAUAUAAGGAGGAACACCGAUGGCGUAGGCAGGUUACUGGCUCGUUCCUGACGCUCAGGCACGAAAGCGUGGGGAGCAAACGGGAUUAGAUACCCCGGUAGUCCACGCCGUAAACGAUGGAUGCUAGCUGUAUUCGGUAUCGACCCCGGAUGUAGCGAAGCUAACGCGUUAAGCAUCCCGCCUGUGGAGUACGGUCGCAAGACUAAAACAUAAAGGAAUUGACGGGGACCCGCACAAGCGGUGGAGCGUGUUGUUUAAUUCGAUGGUAAACGAAGAACCUUACCCAGGCUUGACAUCCUUGGAAUUUCUCCGAAAGGAGAAAGUGCUUUUAGAGCCAAGUGACAGGUGAUGCAUGGCCGUCGUCAGCUCGUGUCGUGAGAUGUUUGGUUAAGUCCAUCAACGAGCGCAACCCUUAUAGUCUGUUGUAUUUUUCAGGCUAGACUGCCCUGGUAACAGGGAGGAAGGAGGGGAUGAUGUCAGGUCAGUAU
This 627-nucleotide ribosomal RNA is filed under the name uncultured bacterium. RNAcentral's name for it is "bacterial SSU rRNA". It matches the Rfam family "Bacterial small subunit ribosomal RNA", at positions 555 to 1196 of the family's 1533-position model. The record is from RNAcentral.